GCAGCUAAAGAGAUGUCCACGGAUCAAGAUAUUAUGACUACAUGACUUAUACAGUCAAAAGAGAACAGAUCUUACACCACUAGAGAAAAAGCCACGAGACGUCCGACAUGAAACAAUGUACUGAGACUUUAAUACCGCCCCAAAUAUGGAAACCUCAGACUAGGUAAGAUCUGGGAAGGCAAGUGAGAUCUCUCCUUCCUCCGUAUUGGUUCCUGCAACCUCCACACCCAGUACAUCUAAAGGUGGAGUACAGGGAAAGGCAAAGACUCAGCACAAGAAUUGUGAAGGUCACCAAGAGCGAAAAGUCCAACAUAAGAACAAAAAGACAGCUAUAGCAAAAGGGUUGCCGUCAACAGAUGAACAAUCCUUCUUUUUUCCCCUACAGUCUAAAACAAGCCAGAAAGCAAGAUCUUGUGAACAACGACUACAAUGGGAGAUAGGAAACAGAAAGGAGAAACUUGAAUCUGUCGGCAAAAUUCGAUUUUUCCCCUAGGAACUACGAGGGGCGACGCUACCGUUUCUUGCAUCACCGGCCUCCAUCGAGACGGCGAGAGCAAAUCCUUACCUACACAAAGAGGAGAGAAAAUGUUUCCAGAAAGUCGCAGAGAGAGAAGAGAAAGGACCAGUCAAACAGUGGUUUCGUUAGUCCCGCACAGUGCGCAGGAAAUGCAUGUACCCGCCGUGCUCGCCUCCUCUAUCCGACCCAAAUCUGGUCCGAUUCUCGACGAGGGAACAGACGGACGGUCGCCUCCCGCACCUCAAAAGUCGCGCUCUUCCUUUCAAAGCUCAACUGAUACAGCUUGUUCUGCUCCCCAAACUUUCCCCCAACCCUCACAAGAAACCACAGAAAGCAAUAAUUUCUCCAGACGCGGUGCAAGAAAGAUACAGUUCGACUGAGAAACGUCUGUACAAGCAAUUACUUCGCAACCGGCCUUGGAAAUCAUCCGCUGCGUUGUACACUCACGCAACAUCUGACACGCACAAACAGAAAGAGAAGGAAGAAACGAGAGACGAACAGCUGCAGCAAACCUAAUAAUAAUAAUGAAUAAAUGUCAAAAAACACGCUCGAGAUAAAGAUCUCAUCUUUUGUAUCUUUUUCCCUUUCAUCACUAAGAGGCGACGGAGGGUGGAGCUCAUGAUGAUAAUAAAGGUUGACAGGAAGAGACGUGAGCACGCAACGGAAACAGCAUCGUAUCAUACCAUUGUCCUCCGCCCUGUGCUCACUCUCUUCUGUCAACCAUUCGUUUUCUCAUUCUCCUUAAGUCUCAUUUCUUGACCUAAAAUCUCGAUCUUUCUUUCCCUUUUGUUUCCCCUCCACACAAGGAAUUCCACCCCAAAGCCUCCCUUGUCAGAUCUGAAUCCUGUCAAUAGUCACAUCGCAAAAGAAAUAGAAAGAGAGAGGAUCGUCACGACAGCAGCAGAAGCCGCAGGAAGCCGCAGGCAAGAAGAACUCGCUCAUCUUGUCGUUAUAAAGGGUGGGGAAGAAGGGAAGGCGGUGACGGGACUCGAGCUCUCUCCAUCUAAUUAGAUGAUUAGAGGGACGUAACUAAGAUAUUAGCGGAGAGGAUUACGAGGCGAAUGAGGUCAUUAAGCCGUUGUCGAGAGGGCAUUGGUGGAAACCUCUCGUGGUGUCGGGUACUACUUGCGAUUUGACCCAUUGUACUCGUGGCGGCUGCAGGAGGAUGAUGACGUGGGGCCCUUUGGGAAUCCAUCGAUGAGAGACGCUGAUGGGGACGACGUACUGGUACCCGC
This 1752-nucleotide long non-coding RNA is filed under the name Musa acuminata (dwarf banana). RNAcentral describes it as "long non-coding RNA (MACU_LNC000733)". Lineage: Eukaryota; Viridiplantae; Streptophyta; Magnoliopsida; Zingiberales; Musaceae. The record is from RNAcentral.